AGUAGAGUUUGUAGUCCUCGCGUCAGGACGAACGCCUGGCGGCGUAGCUUAACACAUGCAAGUCGAACGGAGCACCUUCGAAAGAGACUUCGGUCAAUGGAAAGAAUGCUUAGUGCGGACGGGUGAGUAACGCGUGAGGGAACCUGCCUUUCAGUGGGGGACAACAGUUGGAAACGACUGCUAAUACCGCAUAACGUACGGGUAUCGCAUGGUAUCUGUACCAAGAUUUAUCGCUGAGAGAUGGCCUCGCGUCUGAUUAGCUAGUUGGUAGGGUAACGGCCUACCAAGGCGACGAUCAGUAGCCGGACUGAGAGGUUGGCCGGCCACAUUGGGACUGAGAUACGGCCCAGACUCCUACGGGAGGCAGCAGUGGGGAAUAUUGGGCAAUGGGCGAAAGCCUGACCCAGCAACGCCGCGUAAAGGAAGAAGGCUUUCGGGUUGUAAACUUCUUUUGACAGGGAAGAGCAGAAGACGGUACCUGUCGAAUAAGCCACGGCUAACUACGUG
This 507-nucleotide ribosomal RNA is filed under the name uncultured Oscillibacter sp. Its description in RNAcentral is "bacterial SSU rRNA". It matches the Rfam family "Bacterial small subunit ribosomal RNA", at positions 1 to 507 of the family's 1533-position model. The record is from RNAcentral. Lineage: Bacteria; Bacillati; Bacillota; Clostridia; Eubacteriales; Oscillospiraceae.